UGGUACUCGGAGAGAUAGUAGACCGUAUAGCGUACGCUUUAUCUGUGACGUAUGUAACACGGUCCACUAACCCUCAGUAUCAAAUCCGUCCUCGAG
This 96-nucleotide microRNA precursor is filed under the name Capra hircus (goat). Lineage: Eukaryota; Metazoa; Chordata; Mammalia; Artiodactyla; Bovidae. The record is from RNAcentral.